Molecule: transfer RNA, 73 nt
Filed under: Gemmata obscuriglobus
Lineage: Bacteria; Pseudomonadati; Planctomycetota; Planctomycetia; Gemmatales; Gemmataceae
Description: tRNA-Ile
Rfam family: tRNA
About the family: Transfer RNA (tRNA) molecules are approximately 80 nucleotides in length. Their secondary structure includes four short double-helical elements and three loops (D, anti-codon, and T loops). Further hydrogen bonds mediate the characteristic L-shaped molecular structure. tRNAs have two regions of fundamental functional importance: the anti-codon, which is responsible for specific mRNA codon recognition, and the 3' end, to which the tRNAs corresponding amino acid is attached (by aminoacyl-tRNA synthetases). tRNAs cope with the degeneracy of the genetic code in two manners: having more than one tRNA (with a specific anti-codon) for a particular amino acid; and 'wobble' base-pairing, i.e. permitting non-standard base-pairing at the 3rd anti-codon position.
Source: RNAcentral
CCUCCCGUAACUCAGCGGCAGAGUGCCGAUCUUAUAAAUCGGCUGUCGCGGGUUCGACUCCCGCCGGGAGGAC